This 409-nucleotide ribosomal RNA is filed under the name Diaporthe longicolla. Its description in RNAcentral is "eukaryotic LSU rRNA". The stretch from base 34 to 187 matches the Rfam family "5.8S ribosomal RNA". The record is from RNAcentral. Lineage: Eukaryota; Fungi; Ascomycota; Sordariomycetes; Diaporthales; Diaporthaceae.
CCCGUGACUCUGAGUAAAACAUAAAUGAAUCAAAACUUUCAACAACGGAUCUCUUGGUUCUGGCAUCGAUGAAGAACGCAGCGAAAUGCGAUAAGUAAUGUGAAUUGCAGAAUUCAGUGAAUCAUCGAAUCUUUGAACGCACAUUGCGCCCUCUGGUAUUCCGGAGGGCAUGCCUGUUCGAGCGUCAUUUCAACCCUCAAGCCUGGCUUGGUGAUGGGGCACUGCCUUCUAGCGAGGGCAGGCCCUGAAAUCUAGGGGCGAGCUCCACUAGGACCCCGAGCGUAGUAGUUAUAUCUCGUUCUGGAAGGCCCUGGCGGUGCCCUGCCGUUAAACCCCCAACUUCUGAAAAUUUGACCUCGGAUCAGGUAGGAAUACCCGCUGAACUUAAGCAUAUCAAUAAGCGGAGGAA